AGUGAACGCUGGCGGUAGGCCUAACACAUGCCAGUCGAACGGCAGCACAGUAAGAGCUUGCUCUUACGGGUGGCGAGUGGCGGACGGGUGAGGAAUACAUCGGAAUCUACUUUUUCGUGGGGGAUAACGUAGGGAAACUUACGCUAAUACCGCAUACGACCUACGGGUGAAAGCAGGGGAUCUUCGGACCUUGCGCGAUUGAAUGAGCCGAUGUCGGAUUAGCUAGUUGGCGGGGUAAAGGCCCACCAAGGCGACGAUCAGUAGCUGGUCUGAGAGGAUGAUCAGCCACACUGGAACUGAGACACGGUCCAGACUCCUACGGGAGGCAGCAGUGGGGAAUAUUGGACAAUGGGCGCAAGCCUGAUCCAGCCAUACCGCGUGGGUGAAGAAGGCCUUCGGGUUGUAAAGCCCUUUUGUUGGGAAAGAAAAGCAGCAGGUUAAUACCCCGCUGUUCUGACGGUACCCAAAGAAUAAGCACCGGCUAACUUCGUG
Molecule: ribosomal RNA, 492 nt
Filed under: uncultured bacterium
Lineage: Bacteria
Description: partial 16S ribosomal RNA
Rfam family: Bacterial small subunit ribosomal RNA
Source: RNAcentral